RNAcentral lists this long non-coding RNA (675 nucleotides) under Homo sapiens (human). RNAcentral's name for it is "HSALNT0167691". Lineage: Eukaryota; Metazoa; Chordata; Mammalia; Primates; Hominidae. The record is from RNAcentral.
GAUGACCACUGAGAGUCUGAGAUGUUCUGAGCAACACUGCCUCAUCUUUCAUCCAAAUUGAGUAAUUUUCCCAACUUGGAUGGUUUCCUUCCAGGCAUAAUCAGACAAGUACUCCGUUUGGAAGUGAGGCAGUCUUUGGAGAUAAACUUUUGUGGAUCAGACUGGACGGUUAGAGGUGUCCCCUGAAGGAAGCAAAGAGUGGAAGAGUAGACACAUAUGGAGUUGGCUGGCAAAGGAUCCAUGAGACUAUGCAAAGCACUCACCAGUGUUCCCAUGUUUUGAGAUUUGCACGCCUUUGAUAUUUUGACGGGAAAAGAGCAUCACCACAAAACAAGCCGCUAGAGGAUUAAAGGAGAUUUAUCACCCAGAAGGGUUCUAGGUAUCAUGGUUAACUGAGGUUUACUCACUUCGGAGAGAAUGCCCCAGUGGGAGAAAAUGUAACCUGAUUGGUCUUGAAAGAGAAUGCCAGCCCAAAUAAGAAUAAACAAACAAACAAAUGGACAGAGAAUCUCAGGAGGAGAAUAGAAUUAACUGGAAGGACACCACCAGGGGAAUUUGACAAAGGGCCAACAAUGGAAUUGAUUAGAUUGCUACCUGGAACAGUGGGUAGGUAAGCAGAGAAACCAAGGUAGGGCAGGGGCAUGAUGUCUGAGCCAUGCCCUCCCUAGAGACCUC